GCCAGACACGGUGGCGCAUGCCUGUAAUCCCAGUGGUUCUGGAGGCUAAGGCAGGAGGAUGGCUAGUUCAAAGCCAGCCUCAGGAACUUAGUGAGGCCCUAAGCAACGUAGUGAGACCCUGUCUCAC
Molecule: small RNA, 127 nt
Filed under: Marmota monax (woodchuck)
Lineage: Eukaryota; Metazoa; Chordata; Mammalia; Rodentia; Sciuridae
Source: RNAcentral